Molecule: long non-coding RNA, 4022 nt
Filed under: Daucus carota (carrot)
Lineage: Eukaryota; Viridiplantae; Streptophyta; Magnoliopsida; Apiales; Apiaceae
Description: long non-coding RNA (DCAR_LNC006190)
Source: RNAcentral
CUGAGGAUCUGUAGUGGAGAUGGGAAAUUGAGGUUUGGUAAGAAUGGGGAGUUUAAGAUACUUCAAGUGGCUGAUAUGCACUUUGCUGACGGCAAGAAAACGCCGUGUCAGGAUGUGUUGCCGGAGCAGAUGAAGGCCUGCUCCGACCUCAACACCACCGCCUUUAUUCGGCGGAUGAUCCGAGCGGAAAAACCGGAUUUCAUUGUUUUCACCGGUCAGUUUAUUCUUUUCUUGUGUCUAGUCAUNAUUUAGGCUCGAUUAGUUAAACGAGCCGGCUCGGCUCGAUUAACUUCAGCUGGAAUUACGCCCGGCUUGAAACUCGGCUCGUUCGACCCAAAUUACACCCCUAGAUAGCGGAUAAUCAGAAGAUCAUUCUUCUGCCAUUAAGCACUUGUGAGUACUAAUUUUCGGUGUUUGCGCAAUUUUCUAUUAUGUCUUGUUUUAAUCAUUUUAUGUGCUCUAAAUUAUAAAAAAAAUGCACACAAUUUGUUAAAGAUUAUAUAAAAUAAAAGUUGAAAUUAUGGAAAAAAUAAAUUUCAAUUAGAAAAAGUUAAAAUGUUUUUUAAUAAUUUAAUUGGAUAAAUUAUAUUUAUAUACUUCCUCUAUCUUAAAAAAAAUAAAAGACUUAUUGGAUUUGACUUUAAUUUUAGUUAUAUAUUAUAUGUAUAAAAUUUAAUAAUUUCAAAUAUGAGGUUGAGCGUGGAGAGGACCUUCAAAGGAUUGGAAAAUUAAUGAAUAGUGUGAUUAUUUGGUGAAUAAAAAUAAUAUGCAAACUCUUUCGGGUCUAAAAAUGAAAUUCAAAUUCAAAAAUAUCGGAUUCGAUAAAAUCCAGUCGGAUUGAAACGAUCGGGUAUCUAUCUAGUUCGGAUUUUCUGUAAUCCCUCUUGUCUGUGAAAUCAGGAGAGUAGUACUUUUUUUUUUAAGAGAAAACUGCACUUUAUGGCCUGCAGUUAGGGGCAACUAGCACUUACGAUACUACAGUUUUGGAAGUACGAUUUGUUAUACUAAACUUUCUAAGCGCUAAACACUUCGUGUAUCAUCGUCAAUUUUGACUAACACCGUUAGUUUUCUCGGGUACACUUUUAUGUGUCAAAACAGUUGAAAUACUACCAAAAGUUAAACCAGCACCUGCUAUACUACAAAAGUUAGAAUUAAAACCAAUACAUAAACACAAUAACAUUCAAAAACUAAACACAACUAAACUAAAACAAUUCAACAGCUAAAUUCAAAAGCCUAACAAGCAUUCAAAAUCCAAACUUCCAUCAUUCAAAAGCCAAGUCUUGAACAUUAUUCAAACAAACUUAACAUCAUAACAUAAAAACAAACAAACUAACAUGACUUGAACUUAAACAAGAUAAUUGGAAAGAGGCAUGGACAACUAAGUCUCAUCAGCAGCAAGAAUAGAGCUCAUAGAAUCAGGAGCAUCUUCCAAUUCUGUUAUCCCACCAUCACCAUCAAUCUCUGACUCAACAACAACAAUUGCAGAUGCAUUACGAGUUUUGGGAACAUGUUAGGAAUCCCAUGCCUCAUUUUCCAAGUUCUUAAUCAAUAAAACCAAAUCCAAAAGCCAAAAAUCUGGAUCAGGCUUGUUCACAUGAUUCAUAGCUUCCUCAUCAUCACAUUCUAUUACCACAUUGCUAACAUCUCCUCUCUCCCAAGCUAGCUUAAGCUCAUAAUAGAUUGACCAUAUCUCUGUAGCUAGUGGCAAAGUUAAUCCAAUCAUACCUGCAGCCCUCUUAACCCACUGUCCUUGGUUGUUUCUCAUCACACAAUCAACAACAUCUUUCAUUUGAGCCCUAUCAAAAACACCCUUACAAUUAACUUUAACUACAUUAGGAGAGGGUUUACUCCAGCAAACCGUAUUUAGGUACUAUUUGCGAGAAAAUACAAACAAUUUGUGAGAUGUUUUGUGGACAAAUUAAGGUUGUUUAUAGCUCAUGUAUAUAUAUUGGAGGAAAUUAAAGAUAAUUUUAACCACCUACUCACUCAUUGGUGGAUUCAGUCAAGUAUGCAGUCCACAAUGUAGUCAAGUGUUGAAUUAACAAGGCAUUCAAAGUCUGUUUCCAAUACUGUUUCUAAAAAUCAAGGCAAUUCCACCCACUUAUUCGAAACUGAUUUCAACUAAUUUGAACGAGAUAUUGAUGAUUAUAACUAAGGAAAAAAGUGACACCAAACAAAUUCGAACAAAAACAUAACAAACAUUAAUAUACGAAAAUAACACAAUAAUACAACUAUAAAAAUGAAGAAUUUAUGAUACAAUUACAUAAUUGCACAACAAUGUUUGACACUCAUACAAUUAUAAUAAUUCAAACAGAACAUCAAAUUAUAAGAACUAACCUUAAUACCAUGAAUUUGUAUAUGAUAUGCAGCCCCCAAAUUAUAUAAUGAUGACUCGAAACAGAGUAAUGAAUUGGGGAUGAGUACAAACAACUGAAAUUAGGGUUCUUGCUUCUGAUUUGGGAGAAAAAAUCGACAUAUAUAUAUAUGUUGUAGCUGAAAAGACAGAAUUACCCCCGGAAAAACUAACAGUGUUAGUCAAAAUUGACGGUGAUACACGAAGUGUUUAGCGCGUAUAAAAUUUAGUAUAACAAGUGGUACUCCCAGAACUGUAGUAUCGCAAGUGCAAGUUGCUCCUAACUGCAAAUACAGAAAGUACAGUUUUCUCAUAUUUUUUUUAAUUUGGAUAGCCCAGUGGUGGGUUUAUUCUUCUGUUGUCCCGGGACACCCGGGUUCGACUCUGGCUCAUCUCGAGAAUUAUUAGAACAGAUACUAAUUUAUAAGGCAUAUAAGCCUGCAUUGUCAAAAAAAAUAAAAAUAUCCCUCUUUCCUAUAUUCUUACAAAGACCGAUUUCAAAGACCUACGGAGCAAAAUGUUACUCCCUCCGUCCCACCCGAUUCUUUACAGUUUCCUUAUUUGGCCGUCCCACCCAUUUCUUUACAUCACAAAACUUUCCCAAAAUAGUUAAUGGGUCCCACCACUUUCUCACUUUUUCUUCCUUUUCACACUACUUUUACUCCACCAACUUCCUUUUAUAUAUUAAAAAUCAAUGGGUCCCACCACUUCACCCACUUUUCCUUCUCUUUUCCACUACUUUAUACAUAUUUCUUAACCUCCGUGCCCAAACCCAAUGUAAAGAAUUGGGUGGGACGGAGGGAGUAAAAAGGAAAAAGAGAGGAAGCGGGGUACUAGAUAGACCGGACAUUAAAAGCUAACAACCAUAUUAAACCCUCACGAGAUAAGACCCAAAACCAGCAUAUCCGUCUCGUCAACAACACUUGUGUUUUUAUUACACGACAACUAACAGUACCUCAACUCUCAAGCCUCAAACUCUUAACUCUACAUACACUAAUACAGUCAAGGUCUCCUCCUCCAAUAGUCUAUAUAUACAGUAGUACACAACAGCUAGACUGAUUCAGAAAACAUCAUGGGUUUAAAACUAGAGUUGUUAUUGUUUGUGAUACUUUUUGUUAGUUCAUGUGAGCUGAGGAUCUGUAGUGGAGAUGGGAAAUUGAGGUUUGGUAAGAAUGGGGAGUUUAAGAUACUUCAAGUGGCUGAUAUGCACUUUGCUGACGGCAAGAAAACGCCGUGUCAGGAUGUGUUGCCGGAGCAGAUGAAGGCCUGCUCCGACCUCAACACCACCGCCUUUAUUCGGCGGAUGAUCCGAGCGGAAAAACCGGAUUUCAUUGUUUUCACCGGUCAGUUUAUUCUUUUCUUGUGUCUAGUCAUUUCAAUUUGAGAUGAGUAUGUUAUGUACUUAGUCCGUCUCAUUCAUUUCUAUACUGCUCAAUACGCAAUUUGCUCGGUACGCAAUUUAGUACUCCUAUAAAGUAUAGCCUAACUUAUAUAUAUAAAAAAAUCUGUUUAUGCAGAGAAAGAAAAUCUUGAAAAUGAUUUAUAGAGUUAUCCUUACAGGAAUAUUAAAAUGUGUGUCACAUUCCGUCUGCCGAUAUAUACAAUUUAGGAGUACGGCGGAGUAGUAUAAUAUAAAGUUGUGUUGUGUAAAAUUUGUUUAGUAAGCCCC